GAUGAACGCUGGCGGCGUGCCUAAUACAUGCAAGUCGAGCGAACAGACGAGGAGCUUGCUCCUCUGACGUUAGCGGCGGACGGGUGAGUAACACGUGGAUAACCUACCGAUAAGACUGGGAUAACUUCGGGAAACCGGAGCUAAUACCGGAUAAUAUAUUGAACCGCAUGGUUCAAUAGUGAAAUACGGUUUUGCUGUCACUUAUAGAUGGAUCCUUGCCGCAUUAGCUAGUUGGUAAGGUAACGGCUUACCAAGGCAACGAUGCGUAGCCGACCUGAGAGGGUGAUCGGCCACACUGGAACUGAGACACGGUCCAGACUCCUACGGGAGGCAGCAGUAGGGAAUCUUCCGCAAUGGGCGAAAGCCUGACGGAGCAACGCCGCGUGAGUGAUGAAGGUCUUCGGAUCGUAAAACUCUGUUAUUAGGGAAGAACAAAUGUGUAAGUAACUAUGCACGUCUUGACGGUACCUAAUCAGAAAGCCACGGCUAACUACGUG
Molecule: ribosomal RNA, 497 nt
Filed under: uncultured bacterium
Lineage: Bacteria
Description: partial 16S ribosomal RNA
Rfam family: Bacterial small subunit ribosomal RNA
Source: RNAcentral